UUAUGAGAUUUUUAUGUAAUAAAUAUACUAAAUUAUGACAAAUGUAUGGUAAAAUUUGUGACAUGUGUAAUAAUAAAAAUGCAUACAAGUGUUAAAUAAAUAUUUGUUAUUAAAUAAAUUUUAAAUAUAGAUAUUUUAUUAUUAUUAUUAUAUUUUAUAUAUAUAUAUAGUAAAUAAAUAAAGAAAAGAGAAAGGAAACAAAGAAAAAGAAACAGAAUAGGCAAACGAAAAGCAGGGGAAGGAAAGAAAGAAAGGAGAAAGAAAAGAAAAAGGGAGAAUUAGGGUUUGAAGGUUUGGAAGUUUAAUAGGAAAUCUCGGCUAAGCAAGGAAAAAUGGCAAAGACAACGAGAGUUAGCUCAAGAAAUACGGUAAAGUAAAGAUAGAACGUUGAAUCAGCAUCCCAGGCCGAUCCUGAAUUCAAUGAGGUAAAGUGUGUUAAUUAUGGGUAAUGGCAUGUACCUAGGAUGUCUUAUGUGUGUGUCAUUUUGAAAUUGUAAAUGUAAGGAUGAAAUAAAUAAAUUUAGGUUGGUUAUGGUAUAAAA
Gossypium arboreum is the source of this 542-nucleotide long non-coding RNA. RefSeq lists it as uncharacterized. Lineage: Eukaryota; Viridiplantae; Streptophyta; Magnoliopsida; Malvales; Malvaceae. The record is from RefSeq and is a predicted model, not a curated record. The transcript is spliced from 3 exons.